This 70-nucleotide transfer RNA is filed under the name Dipodomys ordii (Ord's kangaroo rat). It matches the Rfam family "tRNA". From Rfam's summary of the family: Transfer RNA (tRNA) molecules are approximately 80 nucleotides in length. Their secondary structure includes four short double-helical elements and three loops (D, anti-codon, and T loops). Further hydrogen bonds mediate the characteristic L-shaped molecular structure. tRNAs have two regions of fundamental functional importance: the anti-codon, which is responsible for specific mRNA codon recognition, and the 3' end, to which the tRNAs corresponding amino acid is attached (by aminoacyl-tRNA synthetases). tRNAs cope with the degeneracy of the genetic code in two manners: having more than one tRNA (with a specific anti-codon) for a particular amino acid; and 'wobble' base-pairing, i.e. permitting non-standard base-pairing at the 3rd anti-codon position. The record is from Rfam by way of RNAcentral. Lineage: Eukaryota; Metazoa; Chordata; Mammalia; Rodentia; Heteromyidae.
GGGAAGGUGGCUCAGUGGUAGAGUGCUUGUCUUGCAUGCAUGAGGUCCUGGGUUCAAUUCCACAAUACCA